This 1256-nucleotide ribosomal RNA is filed under the name uncultured Acinetobacter sp. RNAcentral describes it as "bacterial SSU rRNA". It matches the Rfam family "Bacterial small subunit ribosomal RNA", at positions 77 to 1328 of the family's 1533-position model. Lineage: Bacteria; Pseudomonadati; Pseudomonadota; Gammaproteobacteria; Moraxellales; Moraxellaceae. The record is from RNAcentral.
AGCUUGCUACCUGAUCUAGCGGCGGACGGGUGAGUAAUGCUUAGGAAUCUGCCUAUUAGUGGGGGACAACAUUCCGAAAGGAAUGCUAAUACCGCAUACGCCCUACGGGGGAAAGCAGGGGAUCUUCGGACCUUGCGCUAAUAGAUGAGCCUAAGUCAGAUUAGCUAGUUGGUGGGGUAAAGGCCUACCAAGGCGACGAUCUGUAGCGGGUCUGAGAGGAUGAUCCGCCACACUGGGACUGAGACACGGCCCAGACUCCUACGGGAGGCAGCAGUGGGGAAUAUUGGACAAUGGGCGAAAGCCUGAUCCAGCCAUGCCGCGUGUGUGAAGAAGGCCUUUUGGUUGUAAAGCACUUUAAGCGAGGAGGAGGCUACUUGGAUUAAUACUCUAGGAUAGUGGACGUUACUCGCAGAAUAAGCACCGGCUAACUCUGUGCCAGCAGCCGCGGUAAUACAGAGGGUGCGAGCGUUAAUCGGAUUUACUGGGCGUAAAGCGUGCGUAGGCGGCUUUUUAAGUCGGAUGUGAAAUCCCUGAGCUUAACUUAGGAAUUGCAUUCGAUACUGGGAAGCUAGAGUAUGGGAGAGGAUGGUAGAAUUCCAGGUGUAGCGGUGAAAUGCGUAGAGAUCUGGAGGAAUACCGAUGGCGAAGGCAGCCAUCUGGCCUAAUACUGACGCUGAGGUACGAAAGCAUGGGGAGCAAACAGGAUUAGAUACCCUGGUAGUCCAUGCCGUAAACGAUGUCUACUAGCCGUUGGGGCCUUUGAGGCUUUAGUGGCGCAGCUAACGCGAUAAGUAGACCGCCUGGGGAGUACGGUCGCAAGACUAAAACUCAAAUGAAUUGACGGGGGCCCGCACAAGCGGUGGAGCAUGUGGUUUAAUUCGAUGCAACGCGAAGAACCUUACCUGGUCUUGACAUAGUAAGAACUUUCCAGAGAUGGAUUGGUGCCUUCGGGAACUUACAUACAGGUGCUGCAUGGCUGUCGUCAGCUCGUGUCGUGAGAUGUUGGGUUAAGUCCCGCAACGAGCGCAACCCUUUUCCUUAUUUGCCAGCGGGUUAAGCCGGGAACUUUAAGGAUACUGCCAGUGACAAACUGGAGGAAGGCGGGGACGACGUCAAGUCAUCAUGGCCCUUACGACCAGGGCUACACACGUGCUACAAUGGUCGGUACAAAGGGUUGCUACCUAGCGAUAGGAUGCUAAUCUCAAAAAGCCGAUCGUAGUCCGGAUUGGAGUCUGCAACUCGACUCCAUGAAGUCG